CGGAUUUUAGGUAUUCUUUGUAAUUUUAAUUCCCAUAAUUUAGUUUAAAUGCAGACAUUUUUUCCACUAAAAUCUUAAAUAAAACAUUACAGUACGAUAUAUGCAAAUCAGAAGAGCUUUAAGAUUUUGUAGAAGCAGGCUACAGUUUCUUUUGAAUUUUUAUUCAUUUUUAUUUUUAUGACUUUAUUUCAUUUUUUUUAUUUUUAAAGUUUUGAAGGACCGGACAGUUAAGUAGCAGUAAACAGUAAAAAAGACAACACAGAGCUGUAAAGCCUGCAGGCCAGCCAAGGAGCACAUUCUAUUACAAAACAGACCAGAAAACUAGAGACAGCACGCCACAUCCAGAUGAAGGUCUGAACUGAAGCCCCCUCCGCCUCCGUCAGGUGGUGCUGGUUCCACGCGAACAGGAGGGGGCGCUAUUACACCGGGGCAGGUGGAGCUACACGACCACAAAGUGACAGCAAUGUAGUUGCACCUUCACAAGAAACAGCUUGUAUUGCACAUUCAGGGAGAAAGAAAUGGCACAUUGUGUUGAGUUUUUCUCUACAAAAAGGUUAUUAAACAGUUAUAAUGCAGUAGAAGCACAGUAACUCCCUCAAUGGCAAUCACACCACUCACUGGUUUAUACUGAUCAGCUGAAACGCUCUGGUCUAAAAUGCUGCUGUCCCUCUCUACAGGGAGGGAAAGUGUCCGACUACGCCAUCAGCUGGCUGCAUUUGCACUUGAGCAAUUUUUAGAUUUUUAAUUUUUUACAUUUCUACCAAAACAUGAGCUAAAAAUGCAUCUAAAUGUAGUUGAAUGUAAACUGCACUUGAUAUUUAGGCUCAAUAAAGUCCGACUUCUUAAUAUGAAGACACAAUUUUAGGCCACAAUUAAAAAAGUUGUAGUUGUUCCACAUACGGCUUAAGUAGUUGUGUUUCGAUCUGUUCUUCUCUCACUUUUAGAGAAAGACAGAACAUAUGAUCUUGCACUAAAUGGUCUGUUUAAACCAGUUUUGUUAAAGCCGCUUAGCUGAGUGUUGUAGCGUGAAACUCUUUGCAAAGAGUUUUUAGUCCAAACAUGAUUUUUCUUUUUGAAAUCUGAAUAAAGGCUUUAUCUGAAAAGCAUUACUAGACUAAUAUGUUCCACGUAGCCUUUGUCGUUUUGAAUUAAAUGUAAUCAUUUAAGCCCAACGCUGCCACCAGAUGGCGAUUUUCUCUUUCCCUCCCCAUCUUGAGCAGUGCAUCCCUUUUGGCCUAUCAGGACUGAGAAUGCAUGGAAUAACAAAAAAAUGACAGUGUGAGUCACAAAAGGAGGCUGCAGAGCAUAGUGAAGACGUUCAAACCUUGUAUCUGAAGGGUGCCGGGCGACCUCGCACCAUCUACAAAAAAAUGUCUUUUGUCAGUCUUCUAAAAGUUGGUCACAUAAUUACUCAUGUUUUAUGUUCAUAUCUUAAUCAAAUGGGUUUGUGUUACAGUUUUAGAUAGUAACAGGGGAACUCUUUCUUUUAGCCAUGGAUAAAUACACUGCUAAUUACAGCACCAGCCGUCUUGAGACUUUAACUGCACUCAAAUGGCUAAUGGGAACUGCAGUUGUUGAAUGCUAUUAUUGUGCUUGGUAUGGCUAAAAUU
Long non-coding RNA from Amphiprion ocellaris (clown anemonefish), 1610 nucleotides. Lineage: Eukaryota; Metazoa; Chordata; Actinopteri; Pomacentridae. The record is from Ensembl.